AGCUUUGCGCAGUGGCGAUAUCGUAACCAAUGAGGUUUUACCGAGGUGCGAUUAUUGCUAGUUGAAAACUGAUACUGUUUAUAGAAUAAGUUAUAUGUUAUUAGUAUAAUGUAUUCUAAGUAUGUGGAGUUAAAUGUAAU
Molecule: small nuclear RNA, 140 nt
Organism: Toxorhynchites rutilus septentrionalis
Lineage: Eukaryota; Metazoa; Arthropoda; Insecta; Diptera; Culicidae
Product: U4 spliceosomal RNA
Exons: 1
Source: RefSeq, a predicted model, not a curated record